Long non-coding RNA from Helianthus annuus (common sunflower), 1250 nucleotides. RefSeq lists it as uncharacterized. Lineage: Eukaryota; Viridiplantae; Streptophyta; Magnoliopsida; Asterales; Asteraceae. The transcript is spliced from 7 exons. The record is from RefSeq and is a predicted model, not a curated record.
CUCUAAAAUUCACUUUCGUCUCUCUCUAUCUUCUUCAAUCUCAUUUCACAAACCCUAAACCAAUUUCAUUUCACAGAGAACUUAUUAAUUUACAAUCAACAGACCUCAUCGUUUCCGUUAUACUUGCUUCUUGGAGGAAAAUCAAAACAAGCGCACAAAUAUCGACAUAAAUAAACCAUUUCUAGAUCUCACCACUUUCUUCUUUAUCCAGAAACAAACACAAUCUGAUUACACAAAUGGAGCUACCGGUGAUCGAUCUACAGCCGUAUUUAUCCGCCAGUCACUCCGGCGAUCGGAGCCGUUCUCCUUAGCACCAGGUUAAUAGACAGGGAAAACGAGCUUCGGCAAUCUGCUCAAAGACCACCGUUGGAUACCUAGACAAGAUCUAAGCUUUGCAGGAGUUUCACAUCUCCAAAAGAAGCCAAAAGCUCAGAAGCAGAGGAUUAAACCUUCUCGUCACUGAAAUCAUCCCUUCUAAAUGCUGCAUGUAAUGACGAAAAGCUGGUUUGCUGGUUGGAAGGCAACUUGUGUGGCAUAACAGUCAAAGUCUAUCUUAAUCUUAGGAAAUGAAGGGAUUAUGUGAGAAACUCUUAGCAAAAACUCAAACUGUGGUCCACAUAGUAAUCAUAACCCUCGAGAUUAUCAGGUUGUUCGGGAAGAUAAUGUUGAUCCUGACAACAUGACUUAUGAGGAACUGCUCGAGUUAGGCAAGGAUGUUGGAAGUCAAAGUCAGUGUCUAUCUCAAGAUGCUAUUUCCACGCUUCCUGUUUCAAAGUUCAAGUGUGGUUUCUUCUGGAGAAAAAAAUUAAAAAAUGAGAGGCAGUCAGAAGUUCAUUUUUAUAAUUCUCUCAGUUUAACAUACGGCUGUCAGUCGUGUCGUGUUUAAAAAUGUUGUGUGCAUACAGCCUUCCGUUGUAAAUAGAUGAGUGAUUACUUGGUUCUGGAUGUGAAUCAACCCAUUAAAAGGAGUUAGGAGAUGGCGUCUUCUGAUGAGAAAGGCCUUUAUUAUCAACGGCAGAGUGUCGAAUUUGUCAGGAGGAGGAUUCCAUUGAUGCUUUGGAGACAACCGACACAUGGUUGCAAUGGCAGUCUUAAGUAUGCUCACAAGAAGUGUUGCGACUAAAAGGACUACAUAACUUGUGAGAUAAUGCCAUCAUGUAUAUUAUCUAAUCAAAUGUUUAAAACCAACAUUGUUUUAAUUCAAUGUUGAAUCACUUUUGAUCACUGAAGUAAACCCUUAAUGUUUGAUA